Molecule: ribosomal RNA, 747 nt
Filed under: Triticum aestivum (bread wheat)
Lineage: Eukaryota; Viridiplantae; Streptophyta; Magnoliopsida; Poales; Poaceae
Description: partial small subunit ribosomal RNA
Source: RNAcentral
AUGAGGAAUCACUGGGACCUCCCGGGCGAGGGAUUCUUCAGGAACACGGGCGAGGACUGGCUGCAGAACCUGCUUGGCCCUUGCAACCAGGAUACCAGAACUAGAGUCCUGCUACUACUUUUGCGCUGCUGGUUUCUUCGUGACGACUGCACCCACAAUACAGGGAAGGAGUCCAUCUGUCGAUCCUCAGCAUUCUUGUUACAGUAUGAGGAGGAUCUCCAUAAGGGGGAGUCGGAGGCGCCUGCAUAUGAUCAGUGGGAUCCCCCAGAGGCGGGCACUGUUAAACUUAACACGGAUGCAGGAUUUUUGGCUGCUAAUGGGUCCUCUCAGGUUGGUGCAAUCGCUCGCAAUCAUCGGGGUGUGGCUCUCUUCUCUCUUGCCGAACGAGGGGGGCACUGCAAUUCUGUAGAGGAGGCUGAGGCGCAAGCAAUCCUAGCCGGCCUGAAGGUGUUGUCGGAGCUGCACCAUGGUCCCCUCAUACUGGAGACGGAUUGCAAAGCCUUGGCGGAUAUGCUGAAUUUGGGCAGCAGGUGUUUGUUGGCGUGCUUUCCAGUGAUCGAGGAUAUCAAACAAGAAUUCGCUAAUUUCAGCAUGGUGAAUGUUCAGUACGCCAACAGGAAGAAGAACAAGAUGGCCCAUUUACUGACUGGCCGUGCUAGGACGAUGGGAGACCUUCUAUGUAUGCCAGGAGUACCGGACGACCUGUUGGGUGACCUGAUCGCCGACUUUGUGUUGGCUGAAGAGUAA